AAGACUAUAGACCUGCGGAGUACCUGCGGAAGGAUCAUUACAGAGUUGCAAAACUCCCUAAACCAUUGUGAACGUUACCUAAACCGUUGCUUCGGCGGGCGGCGCGCCCUCGCGCGCGCCCCUGGGCCCCACCGCGGGCGCCCGCCGGAGGUCACCAAACUCUUGAUAUUAAUUGGCCUCUCUGAGUCUUCUGUACUGAAUAAGUCAAAACUUUCAACAACGGAUCUCUAGAUCGGAAGA
Molecule: unclassified non-coding RNA, 240 nt
Filed under: soil metagenome
Description: partial contains 5.8S ribosomal RNA, internal transcribed spacer 2, and large subunit ribosomal RNA
Source: RNAcentral